AUUUAUCUAAUAUUAUAAGUAUAUUUGACUUCCAAUCAAAAAGUCUGAAAAAGAUUCAGGAUAAAUA
Molecule: transfer RNA, 67 nt
Filed under: Etrocorema hochii
Lineage: Eukaryota; Metazoa; Arthropoda; Insecta; Plecoptera; Perlidae
Description: tRNA-Gly
Source: RNAcentral